CAGGGAAUCUUGCACAAUGCGCGCAAGCUUGAUGCAGCGAUGCCGCGUGAGGGAUGAAGGCCCUCGGGUCGUAAACCUCUUUCAGUAGGGAAGAAGCCACGGGACACCGUGGUGACGGUACCUGCAGAAGAAGCCCCGGCUAACUACGUGCCAGCAGCCGCGGUAAAACGUAGGGGGCGAGCGUUGCCCGGAUUCACUGGGCGUAAAGCGGGUGUAGGCGGUCUCUUAAGUCGGAUGUGAAAUCCUGCGGCCUAACCGCGGAACUGCAUCCGAUACUGGGAGACUUGAGGACGGUAGAGGCCGGUGGAAUUCCCGGUGUACCGGUGAAAUGGACAGAUAUCGGGAGGAACACCAGUGGCGAAGGCGGCCGGCUGGGCCGAUCCUGACGCUGAGACCCGAAAGCCAGGGUAGCGAACCG
This 418-nucleotide ribosomal RNA is filed under the name uncultured bacterium. RNAcentral's name for it is "bacterial SSU rRNA". It matches the Rfam family "Bacterial small subunit ribosomal RNA", at positions 355 to 775 of the family's 1533-position model. The record is from RNAcentral.